UCUCUGAUGGUCCAGUGGUAAGAUUCCGAGCUCCCAAUGCAGGGGGCCCAAGUUCGAUCCCUGGUCAGGGAA
Molecule: transfer RNA, 72 nt
Filed under: Bos taurus (domestic cattle)
Lineage: Eukaryota; Metazoa; Chordata; Mammalia; Artiodactyla; Bovidae
Also listed under: 2 other names
Rfam family: tRNA
About the family: Transfer RNA (tRNA) molecules are approximately 80 nucleotides in length. Their secondary structure includes four short double-helical elements and three loops (D, anti-codon, and T loops). Further hydrogen bonds mediate the characteristic L-shaped molecular structure. tRNAs have two regions of fundamental functional importance: the anti-codon, which is responsible for specific mRNA codon recognition, and the 3' end, to which the tRNAs corresponding amino acid is attached (by aminoacyl-tRNA synthetases). tRNAs cope with the degeneracy of the genetic code in two manners: having more than one tRNA (with a specific anti-codon) for a particular amino acid; and 'wobble' base-pairing, i.e. permitting non-standard base-pairing at the 3rd anti-codon position.
Source: Rfam by way of RNAcentral